GUCCACGCCGUAAACGAUGGGCACUAGAUGUGGGCGGUGUCGACUCCGUCCGUGUCGUAGCUAACGCAUUAAGUGCCCCGCCUGGGGAGUACGGCCGCAAGGCUAAAACUCAAAGGAAUUGACGGGGGCCCGCACAAGCAGCGGAGCAUGUGGUUUAAUUCGACGCAACGCGAAGAACCUUACCUGGGCUUGACAUGUUUCUGUAAGCCGUAGAAAUACGGCCCCUCUUCGGAGCAGAUUCAC
This 243-nucleotide ribosomal RNA is filed under the name uncultured bacterium. RNAcentral describes it as "partial 16S ribosomal RNA". It matches the Rfam family "Bacterial small subunit ribosomal RNA", at positions 793 to 1035 of the family's 1533-position model. The record is from RNAcentral.